AGAGUUUGAUCCUAGCUCAGAAUUAAUGCUGGCGGCAUGCCUAAUACAUGCAAGUCGAACGGAAAUUUUGAAUUCGCAAGAGUUUAAAGUUUUAGUGGCGAACGGGUGAGUAACACGUAUUUAACCUGCCUAAUAGUUUGGGAUACCCAUUGGAAACGAUGAUUAAUACCAAAUAAUCUUUUGAAUUUGAAAUAGUUUAAUAGCAAAGGGGCUUUCAAGCCUCGCUAAUUGAUGGGAAUGCGCUGCAUUAGCUAGUUGGUAAGGUAACGGCUUACCAAGGCGACGAUGCAUAACCGGACUGAGAGGUUGAACGGUCACACUGGGAUUGAGAUACGGCCCAGACUCCUGCGGGAGGCAGCAGUAAGGAAUUUUUCACAAUGGGCGAAAGCCUGAUGAAGCAAUGCCGCGUAAUCGAUGAAGGUCUUCGGAUCGUAAAGAUUUGUGGUUCAGAAAGAAAAUUUUUGUUCAGGAAAUGGAACGAAAAAUUGACGAUACUGAUCUAGAAAGUCACGACUAACUACGUGCCAGCAGUCGCGGUAAUACGUAGGUGGCAAGCAUUAUUCGGAAUUAUUGGGCGUAAAGUAUGCGUAGACGGAAAUCAAAGUCUUUGGUUUAAUCAAAAAGCUCAACUUUUUGCUGCCAAAGAUACUUUUUUUCUUGAGAUUUGUGUGACGUGAGUGGAAUUUCAUGUGGAGUGGUGAAAUACGUGGAUAUAUGAAAGAACAUCGAACAGCGAAAGCAACUCACGAACCAAUUUCUGACGUUGAGGCAUGAGAGCAUGGGGAGCCAAUCGGAUUAGAUACCCGAGUAGUCCAUAGCUGUAAACGAUGAGUGCUAGUUCUGAAUUUUAAAUUCGGGGCGAAGCUAACGCGUUAAGCACUCCGCCUGGGGAGUAUGCACGCAAGUGUAAAACUCAAAGGAAUUGACGGGAACCCGCACAAGCGGUGGAACAUGUGGUUUAAUUCGAAGCAACGCGAAGAACCUUACCAAGGCUUGAAAUUACUCGCAACGCGGCAGAAACGUCGUUGAGGUUAACGAGUAACAGAUGGUGCAUGGCUGUCGUCAGUUCGUGUCGUGAGAUGUAAGGUUAAGUCCUCUAACGAACGCAACCCUUGUCGCUAGUUGCUAACAUUAAGUUGAGAACUUUAGCGAGACCGCUGAUGCAAAUCAGAGGAAGGAAAGGAUGACGUCAAGUCAGUAUGCCUCUUACGCCUUGGGCUACACACGUGUUACAAUGGCCAGUACAACAAGUUGCCAUGCGGUGACGCAGAGCUAAUCUUUUAAAACUGGUCUCAGUCCGGAUUGAAGUCUGCAAUUCGACUUCAUGAAGUUGGAAUCGCUAGUAAUCGCAAAUCAGCAACGUUGCGGUGAAUACGUUCUCGGGUUUUGUACACACCGCCCGUCAAACCACGAAAAUUGAGAGUGCUGGAAGUUGGUUGCGAACCUAUUAAACCAGGUAAGUGCUAACGAAGGCAAAAUCAGUGAUUGGGGUUAAGUCGUAACAAGGUAUCCCUACGAGAACGUGGGGAUG
Molecule: ribosomal RNA, 1531 nt
Filed under: Candidatus Spiroplasma holothuricola
Lineage: Bacteria; Bacillati; Mycoplasmatota; Mollicutes; Entomoplasmatales; Spiroplasmataceae
Description: bacterial SSU rRNA
Rfam family: Bacterial small subunit ribosomal RNA
Source: RNAcentral